RNAcentral lists this ribosomal RNA (510 nucleotides) under Trichopsenius matsumotoi. RNAcentral describes it as "partial 16S ribosomal RNA". The stretch from base 384 to 510 matches the Rfam family "Bacterial large subunit ribosomal RNA", at positions 2473 to 2600 of the family's 2925-position model. The record is from RNAcentral. Lineage: Eukaryota; Metazoa; Arthropoda; Insecta; Coleoptera; Staphylinidae.
GUCUUUUUGUUAAAAAUUUAAAGUCUGACCUGCUCAAUGAAAAUUAAAUAGCUGCAGUAUUUUGACUGUACAAAGGUAGCAUAAUCAUUAGUUUUUUAAUUAAAAGCUAGAAUGAAGGGUUUGACGAAAAAAUUACUGUCUUUAUUUAAUUUAAUUAGAAAUUUAUUAUUUAGUAAAAAAGCUAAAAUAUAUUUAAUAGACGAGAAGACCCUAUAGAGUUUUAUAUUAUGUAUUAUUAUAUUAAAAUAGAGAAUUAUUUAUUUAAUAGUAUUAUAGUAUUUUUUUGGGGAGAAAAAAAAAUUUAGUUAACUUUUUUUAUUUAAUUUCAUUAAUUUAUGAAUAAUUGAUCCAUUUUAUUGAUUAUAAGAUUUAAUUACCUUAGGGAUAACAGCAUAAUUUUUUUUAAGAGUUCUUAUCGAAAAGAAAGAUUGUGACCUCGAUGUUGGAUUAAAAUUUAUUUAUAAUGAAGGAGUUAUAAAAUUAGGUCUGUUCGACCUUUAAAAUUUUACA